Molecule: ribosomal RNA, 84 nt
Filed under: Macrococcus brunensis
Lineage: Bacteria; Bacillati; Bacillota; Bacilli; Caryophanales; Staphylococcaceae
Description: partial 16S ribosomal RNA
Rfam family: Bacterial small subunit ribosomal RNA
Source: RNAcentral
UUUUAUGGAGAGUUUGAUCCUGGCUCAGGAUGAACGCUGGCGGCGUGCCUAAUACAUGCAAGUCGAGCGGAUAGACGAGGUGCU